UUCAGGCGUUCAAACCAGCCGCAGAGAAGAGUGGAGUAUAGGGGCCGGUAGGGGAGGAACAGGUGGGAGAGAUUAGCGGAUAAUUUCGCUUAUUUUUAGCGUAUUUUAGCUGAUUUUAGCGUUCUGCUUGUGGUUUAAGGUGUUUAAACCACUGUCAGACGCGUUUAAGGAGGACUGGAGAACAAAACAGCUGAUUCGGCGUCGGUGCAGACGGCUGAUGACCCGCGGUCCCGGACCCGCAGUACCGAGAUGGGCGAGUGGUGGACCCCGCCCAUGAUGCCGGACCCCUCCCUGGACACUAAAGAACUCUCCAGCAUUUCCCACAUUAGCUCCGCCUCCACCUCCGCCUCGGAUCCGCCCAAACACUCCUACAGCGUCCUCCACGCCUUCUGCACCGAGGAGAACAUCUCCCAGUGCAUCUCCUACAUCAACCAGGUCAGACCAGCUUCCUCACCGCCACCGACCCUCACCGCCACCGACCCUCACCGCCACCGACCCUCACCGCCACCGACCCUC
RNAcentral lists this long non-coding RNA (516 nucleotides) under Astyanax mexicanus (Mexican tetra). RNAcentral's name for it is "lncRNA (ENSAMXG00005011506.1)". Lineage: Eukaryota; Metazoa; Chordata; Actinopteri; Characiformes; Acestrorhamphidae. The record is from RNAcentral.